RNAcentral lists this long non-coding RNA (465 nucleotides) under Homo sapiens (human). RNAcentral describes it as "HSALNT0106412". The record is from RNAcentral. Lineage: Eukaryota; Metazoa; Chordata; Mammalia; Primates; Hominidae.
CUGCACUCUAGCCUGGGUGACAGAGCGAGACUCUGUCUCAAAAAAAAAAAAAGAAAGAAGAUGAAGAGUUAAGAGUUCAAGAGAGCUGAAUACCAAGUGCUGACAGAAGGGACCCCCAAGGGAUGCAAACUGAUCCACACAGCAGAACCCCAGAAAGGUUUAGGAAGUGGUGAUACAGGCACCACAGAGGCAAGAGUGAAUAUAGGGGAAAUGAAUGAAAAUCUGUGUGAAGAUGCUUAGAUCAUCUGCCAAAUUUCUCCCCCAUCCAGAGGGAAGACUUUCCAAUCCCCACAAAGAGAUCACCAGGUUCCCACCUAAUCUCCUUAUAGUGAAGUCUAUCAGCUCAUAAGGCCCAGGCAUGCACACACAGCUUGCAAUGAUUUAUUCUUUUUUUUUUUUUUGAGACAGAGUUUCGCUCUUUCGCCCAGGCUGGAGUACAGUGGCGCAAUCUCGGCUCACUGCAAC